Molecule: transfer-messenger RNA, 352 nt
Filed under: Bacteroidota bacterium
Lineage: Bacteria; Pseudomonadati; Bacteroidota
Description: Bacteroidetes bacterium (marine metagenome) partial transfer-messenger RNA
Rfam family: transfer-messenger RNA
About the family: Bacterial tmRNA, also known as 10Sa RNA or SsrA, is named for its dual tRNA and mRNA-like properties. Its role is to liberate the mRNA from a stalled ribosome.
Source: RNAcentral
AAGCAGACUGCGUGUCGAGCUUUCUGGUACGCUCGUAAAUCUCGCCAGAAAAAGACAAAUGCAAACGAUUACGCAUUCGCGAUGGCCGCUUAAGUCUAUAAGACAUUAAGCCUUGCUAUCUGUCCUCCAGCUUGCCCGUCUAUCGGCAGCUGAUUUGGGCAUCAAACCUGAUAGAAUAGGAUGCACCAUGCCGGCUGAAUAAGUGUAUCUAAAGCUCGAUCAGCCUUUAAGCGGUUCUGGCCCAAGACGACUGGCCACGGAAACGCUCGAGAAUUCAGUAAGUCGACUACACACGUAGACGUUUGACUGGACAACUAUUCGGACCUGGGUUCGACUCCCAGCAUCUCCACCA